Molecule: long non-coding RNA, 888 nt
Organism: Triticum dicoccoides
Lineage: Eukaryota; Viridiplantae; Streptophyta; Magnoliopsida; Poales; Poaceae
Exons: 3
Source: RefSeq, a predicted model, not a curated record
GGUUGCCAUGGCAACCAGGGCAGAUCCGUAGGGCGCUCCGACCCCAAACCACACCCUAACCCUUCCCAUCCCCAGCCGCCCACUCCAAUCCAGCCCUCCAGACACGAUCAACUAAAACCAGGUGAAAAUUCUCGAUCUCGUCCUUCCCUCUCAUCCUUAAGGCUGAAAAUCUCCCGAUCUUGUACUGGGUCCAUACUAUAGGGGUAGAACACUGCAUGGUUCGGUGUAUAUUCGCAAUUGCCAGGCAGAAUACACCAGAUCUGCCAUGUACUACGUUUGAGGUUAACUUAGGUGCCUAGUUUAGGCACUUAAGUAGUUGGGUAUGAAAUGGAUGAGUAGGAAUCCCUAAAAAAGGGCAGGAAGGACGAUUUUUUGAAUGAAGAGGGUGGGAAAAAAUAAUUGCCACUUGUGUGUAACGACAGUUGCCGCUUGUGUAUGAUGACAAUUGCCACCUAUUUUGACCUGUUGCUUGCCAUCCCUAUCUUCCAUGUGCAAGCAGCAGAAGAAUACAAUUCUUGUGGAUUAUUGAUGCCUUUUUGAUCAUCCAGUGAUUGAGAACAUGUCGGAAAAGAAUCGAGACGCGGAAAGGAUGAAUCGCGAAGGUGGCGCUGAUGCUUGGGGUUCUCAAAGGCCAGAAACACCGCCUUGGGAUGCAGCAGAGUAUAGUCAACUCAUCUCUGCAGGGCCGUUGCUGCCACUACUAGAACAGUAUGCAGGCGUAGGUUCUUAUGACCAAAACACUCUCAGGGGGGCCCCAUGGCAAGUUCAGUCACAAGGCGCUAACACUGACAUAUGUACGGGCAACCAACCUCAACUAGCUAGUAUGGCUAAUCAAGGGCCUUCAUCCAGCACGUGGCAUCAGCCAGCACCCAUGUACCUGCCAUCGAC